AAAUUGAAGAGUUUGAUCAUGGCUCAGAUUGAACGCUGGCGGCAGGCCUAACACAUGCAAGUCGAACGGUAACAGGAAGCAGCUUGCUGCUUUGCUGACGAGUGGCGGACGGGUGAGUAAUGUCUGGGAAACUGCCCGAUGGAGGGGGAUAACUACUGGAAACGGUGGCUAAUACCGCAUAACGUCGCAAGACCAAAGAGGGGGACCUUCGGGCCUCUUGCCAUCAGAUGUGCCCAGAUGGGAUUAGCUUGUUGGUGAGGUAACGGCUCACCAAGGCGACGAUCCCUAGCUGGUCUGAGAGGAUGACCAGCCACACUGGAACUGAGACACGGUCCAGACUCCUACGGGAGGCAGCAGUGGGGAAUAUUGCA
RNAcentral lists this ribosomal RNA (371 nucleotides) under Salmonella enterica. RNAcentral's name for it is "bacterial SSU rRNA". It matches the Rfam family "Bacterial small subunit ribosomal RNA", at positions 1 to 368 of the family's 1533-position model. The record is from RNAcentral. Lineage: Bacteria; Pseudomonadati; Pseudomonadota; Gammaproteobacteria; Enterobacterales; Enterobacteriaceae.